Molecule: unclassified non-coding RNA, 336 nt
Filed under: fungal sp.
Lineage: Eukaryota; Fungi
Description: partial internal transcribed spacer region
Rfam family: Eukaryotic small subunit ribosomal RNA (bases 1-46)
Source: RNAcentral
AAGUCGUAACAAGGUUUCCGUAGGUGAACCUGCGGAAGGAUCAUUAUCACGUUUUACACGUUCAACAACCGCGGACUGUCUUUUCCUGGUGCUCAACUACUACCGUGUCGGCGAAUGCCUGCGGGCAAACGAGGCUCGGCGAUGUAGCUGACAAGUGAAGCGCUUUCCGGGAUUUCGGGCUUCAUUGCAUCGGGUGUUUUCACGCAAAUCCGUACCAACCCCUUUAACAACAACUGUUUUAUGUUUGAACUGAUCCGUUCUUUCUUUGUCGAAAGACAAAGACGAACAAUUAUUUAAAUUUUCGUACAACUCUUAGCAACGGAUACCUUGGCUCUC